RNAcentral lists this ribosomal RNA (254 nucleotides) under uncultured bacterium. RNAcentral's name for it is "partial small subunit ribosomal RNA". It matches the Rfam family "Bacterial small subunit ribosomal RNA", at positions 26 to 284 of the family's 1533-position model. The record is from RNAcentral.
AGGACGAACGCUGGCGGCGUGCUUAACACAUGCAAGUCGAGCGGAAAGGCCCUUCGGGGUACUCGAGCGGCGAACGGGUGAGUAACACGUGGGCAACCUGCCCUUAGCUCUGGGAUAGCUCCGGGAAACCGGAAUUAAAUACCGGAUAUGACCUAGGCCGACAUCGGCCGUGGUGGAAAGUUUUUCGGCUAGGGAUGGACUCGCGGCCUAUCAGCUAGUUGGUGGGGUAAUGGCCUACCAAGGCGACGACGGGU